RNAcentral lists this signal recognition particle RNA (267 nucleotides) under Chthonomonas sp. RNAcentral's name for it is "signal recognition particle sRNA large type". It matches the Rfam family "Bacterial large signal recognition particle RNA". Rfam says of the family: The signal recognition particle (SRP) is a universally conserved ribonucleoprotein involved in the co-translational targeting of proteins to membranes. Archaeal SRP consists of a 7S RNA and homologues of the eukaryotic SRP19 and SRP54 proteins. Lineage: Bacteria; Bacillati; Armatimonadota; Chthonomonadia; Chthonomonadales; Chthonomonadaceae. The record is from RNAcentral.
UCGUGCUAGACGGGGAGCCAGCGGUGCCCUGUACCCGUAAUCCGCUAUAACGGGGUUGAACUCCCCGCUCUCGAUAUACUCUCUUUUUGGUUCAACACAUGCAGGCGAUGUUGAUGGACAGGCUCCGCGCAUCGGCAAGCAUCUGAACCGUGUCAGGACCGGAAGGUAGCAGCACUAAGGGUGACUUCCCGAGUGCCGCGGAAACACCUGACCGGAGUCGUCGGCGAAUGCUUCCAGAAAGAGAUAUAACAAAAGCGGGGUGCACGA